AUUGAACGCUGGCGGCAGGCUUAACACAUGCAAGUCGAGCGAGAGGCGGACGGGUGAGUACUGUCUGGGAAACUGCCUGAUGGAGGGGGAUACCUACUGGAAACGGUAGCUAAUACCGCAUACACACAGAUGGGCCCAGAUGGGAUUAGCUAGUAGGUGGGGUAAUGGCUCCCCUAGGCGACGAUCCCUAGCUGGUCUGAAAGGAAGACCAGCCACACUGUAACUGAGACACGGUCCAGACUCCUACGGGAGGCAGCAGUGGGGAAUAUUGCACAAUGGGCGCAAGCCUGAUGCAGCCAUGCCGCGUGUGUGAAGAAGGCCUUCGGGUUGUAAAGCACUUUCAGCGAGGAGGCGUUACUCGCAGAAGAAGCACCGGCUAACUCCGUGCCAGCAGCCGCGGUAAUAC
RNAcentral lists this ribosomal RNA (406 nucleotides) under uncultured bacterium. RNAcentral describes it as "partial 16S ribosomal RNA". It matches the Rfam family "Bacterial small subunit ribosomal RNA", at positions 30 to 526 of the family's 1533-position model. The record is from RNAcentral.